GACUUGCUCUGGAUUCAGCGGCGGACGGGUGAGUAAUGCCUAGGAAUCUGCCUGGUAGUGGGGGACAACGUUUCGAAAGGAACGCUAAUACCGCAUACGUCCUACGGGAGAAAGCAGGGGACCUUCGGGCCUUGCGCUAUCAGAUGAGCCUAGGUCGGAUUAGCUAGUUGGUGAGGUAAUGGCUCACCAAGGCGACGAUCCGUAACUGGUCUGAGAGGAUGAUCAGUCACACUGGAACUGAGACACGGUCCAGACUCCUACGGGAGGCAGCAGUGGGGAAUAUUGGACAAUGGGCGAAAGCCUGAUCCAGCCAUGCCGCGUGUGUGAAGAAGGUCUUCGGAUUGUAAAGCACUUUAAGUUGGGAGGAAGGGUUGUAGAUUAAUACUCUGCAAUUUUGACGUUACCGACAGAAUAAGCACCGGCUAACUCUGUGCCAGCAGCCGCGGUAAUACAGAGGGUGCAAGCGUUAAUCGGAAUUACUGGGCGUAAAGCGCGCGUAGGUGGUUUGUUAAGUUGGAUGUGAAAUCCCCGGGCUCAACCUGGGAACUGCAUCCAAAACUGGCAAGCUAGAGUAUGGUAGAGGGGUGGGGUGGGAUUUUCUGUGUAGCGGUGAAAAUGCGUAGAUUAUAGGGAGGGAACACCAGUUGGCGAAGGGCGACCACCCUGGACUGAUACUGACACUGAGGUGCGAAAGCGUGGGGAGCAAACAGGAUUAGAUACCCCUGGGUAGUCCACGCCGUAAACGAUGUCAACUAGCCGUUGGGGAGCCCUUGAGCUCUUAGUGGCGCAGCUAACGCAUUAAGUUGACCGCCUGGGGGAGUACGGCCGCAAGGUUAAAACUCAAAUGAAUUGACGGGGCCCGCACAGCGGUGGAGCAUGGUGGNUUAAUUCGAAGCACGCGAAGANCUUACCANNNNNGACAUCNNGACUUCAGAGAUGNUU
RNAcentral lists this ribosomal RNA (942 nucleotides) under bacterium B-20B. RNAcentral describes it as "bacterial SSU rRNA". It matches the Rfam family "Bacterial small subunit ribosomal RNA", at positions 77 to 1013 of the family's 1533-position model. The record is from RNAcentral.